RNAcentral lists this ribosomal RNA (288 nucleotides) under uncultured bacterium. RNAcentral's name for it is "partial 16S ribosomal RNA". It matches the Rfam family "Bacterial small subunit ribosomal RNA", at positions 773 to 1060 of the family's 1533-position model. The record is from RNAcentral.
GUGGAUUAGAUACCCUGGUAGUCCACACUGUAAACGAUGAAUGCUAGGUGUAGGGGGUAUCGACCCCUUCUGUGCCGGAGUUAACACAAUAAGCAUUCCGCCUGGGGAGUACGGCCGCAAGGUUGAAACUCAAAGGAAUUGACGGGGGCCCGCACAAGCAGCGGAGCAUGUGGUUUAAUUCGAAGCAACGCGAAGAACCUUACCAGGUCUUGACAUCCAGUAAAAUCUGUAGAGAUACAGUGUGCCUUCGGGCGUACUGAGACAGGUGGUGCACGGCCGUCGCCAGCU